Molecule: ribosomal RNA, 597 nt
Filed under: uncultured bacterium
Lineage: Bacteria
Description: bacterial SSU rRNA
Rfam family: Bacterial small subunit ribosomal RNA
Source: RNAcentral
CCUACGGGAGGCAGCAGUAGGGAAUCUUGCGCAAUGGGCGAAAGCCUGACGCAGCCAUGCCGCGUGAAUGAUGAAGGUCUUAGGAUUGUAAAAUUCUUUCACCGGGGACGAUAAUGACGGUACCCGGAGAAGAAGCCCCGGCUAACUUCGUGCCAGCAGCCGCGGUAAUACGAAGGGGGCUAGCGUUGCUCGGAAUUACUGGGCGUAAAGGGAGCGUAGGCGGAUAGUUUAGUCAGAGGUGAAAGCCCAGGGCUCAACCUUGGAAUUGCCUUUGAUACUGGCUAUCUUGAGUUUGGGAGAGGUGAGUGGAACUCCGAGUGUAGAGGUGAAAUUCGUAGAUAUUCGGAAGAACACCAGUGGCGAAGGCGACUCACUGGCCCAAUACUGACGCUGAGGCUCGAAAGCGUGGGGAGCAAACAGGAUUAGAUACCCUGGUAGUCCACGCCGUAAACGAUGAGUGCUAGUUGUCGGCAUGCAUGCAUGUCGGUGACGCAGCUAACGCAUUAAGCACUCCGCCUGGGGAGUACGGUCGCAAAGAUUAAAACUCAAAUUGAAAUUGACCGGNUGAGAGNGCGAGGACGACGACGAGGGAGGAGG